This 21-nucleotide microRNA is filed under the name Drosophila virilis. RNAcentral describes it as "dvi-miR-9705-3p". Lineage: Eukaryota; Metazoa; Arthropoda; Insecta; Diptera; Drosophilidae. The record is from miRBase by way of RNAcentral.
UACGAUACCAACUGGCCAGAG